RNAcentral lists this transfer RNA (61 nucleotides) under Echeneibothrium williamsi. RNAcentral's name for it is "tRNA-Thr". Lineage: Eukaryota; Metazoa; Platyhelminthes; Cestoda; Rhinebothriidea; Echeneibothriidae. The record is from RNAcentral.
GGUCUAUUAGUUUAAAUAAAAUGCUGGUUUUGUAAUCCUGCGAUAAUUUCAUUAUUGACCU